GGCAGAGUAAAGAGCUAAACAACAGCUGAGAUUAACUGUGGAUGAGACAGUUUGAUCACUCACAAAUCAUUUUUUAAUUUUUCAUUCAUACUUAAUGCCAAACCUUAUGCUAGCCCUCCUCCCCUAUGUGUGGACAGUAGCGUGAGCAAAAACAUGGGACCUACAUCUUAGUUGGGGAGACAGACAAAAAAGUGUAUUACAACAUGUAAAGUAUUAUGGAGAAAACAGGGUGCUGACACAGGCCUACCUUUAAUUGUCACUAUUAGGUAGGGUGUUCAGGCUCAGAUGUAAACUGACACCUGAGUAUGAGAAGAAGCCAGCUUUGCAGGGUGCGCCCAGGCUGUGUCCUAGGGCAGAAAAGAACACGGGGGUUCCAGAGACAGCGAAGUAGGCCACAGUGAGACUGGCUGGGGGGAAAUGGGGAGAUUAUAUAAAAUGAAGAAAGAUUUUGAUUGAAAAGUUCAAUGGGAAGCCAGCACAAGUGUUUUAAGCAGAAGAAUGACUGAUUGCUGUUUUUAUUAGAUCACUCAGGCUGCUAUGUGGAAAACAGAUUAGCAGUAAGGGGGAGGUCAACAGAGGAAGUAGGGAGAUGAGUUGAAAGUACAGAAGUGUUAUACACCAAUUAGUUACUUAAAAUAAUUAGUGGGAAUUUUAAGUUGAGCAUCUGAGAGAUCGACAAAAGCUAGAUUUCAUUCAUAAGCAGGCUCAAGGAC
Molecule: long non-coding RNA, 713 nt
Filed under: Homo sapiens (human)
Lineage: Eukaryota; Metazoa; Chordata; Mammalia; Primates; Hominidae
Description: HSALNT0248960
Source: RNAcentral